UAGGGGUGAUGGCGUGCCUUUUGUAGAAUGAACCGGCGAGUUACGUUCCCGUGCAAGGUUAAGGUGAGAAGCCGUAGCCGCAGCGAAAGCGAGUCUGAAUAGGGCGACGAAGUACGUGGGCGUAGACCCGAAACCGUGUGAUCUACCCCUGUCCAGGGUGAAGGUGCGGUAACACGCACUGGAGGCCCGAACCCACGAAUGUUGAAAAAUUCGGGGAUGAGGUGGGGGUAGCGGAG
This 236-nucleotide ribosomal RNA is filed under the name Paenibacillus sp. VCA1. RNAcentral's name for it is "partial 23S ribosomal RNA". It matches the Rfam family "Bacterial large subunit ribosomal RNA", at positions 588 to 823 of the family's 2925-position model. The record is from RNAcentral. Lineage: Bacteria; Bacillati; Bacillota; Bacilli; Caryophanales; Paenibacillaceae.